UACGUAGGGGGCAAGCGUUGUCCGGAAUCAUUGGGCGUAAAGAGCGUGUAGGUGGCCCGGUCAGUCCGCCGUGAAAGUCCAGGGCUCAACCCUGGAAUGCCGGUGGAUACUGCCGGGCUGGAGUCCGGAAGAGGCGAGUGGAAUUCCUGGUGUAGCGGUGAAAUGCGCAGAUAUCAGGAGGAACACCAAUGGCGAAGGCAGCUCGCUGGGACGGUACUGACACUGAGACGCGAAAGCGUGGGGAGCGAACCGG
RNAcentral lists this ribosomal RNA (253 nucleotides) under uncultured bacterium. RNAcentral's name for it is "partial 16S ribosomal RNA". It matches the Rfam family "Bacterial small subunit ribosomal RNA", at positions 524 to 776 of the family's 1533-position model. The record is from RNAcentral.